RNAcentral lists this transfer RNA (69 nucleotides) under Bos taurus (domestic cattle). It matches the Rfam family "tRNA". Rfam says of the family: Transfer RNA (tRNA) molecules are approximately 80 nucleotides in length. Their secondary structure includes four short double-helical elements and three loops (D, anti-codon, and T loops). Lineage: Eukaryota; Metazoa; Chordata; Mammalia; Artiodactyla; Bovidae. RNAcentral also lists the same sequence under 3 other names. The record is from Rfam by way of RNAcentral.
CCUGAUGGCUCAGUCAGUAAAGAAUCUACCUGCAAUGUAGGAGAUCCAGGUUUGAGUCCUGGGUCAGGA